RNAcentral lists this ribosomal RNA (524 nucleotides) under uncultured bacterium. RNAcentral describes it as "bacterial SSU rRNA". It matches the Rfam family "Bacterial small subunit ribosomal RNA", at positions 777 to 1301 of the family's 1533-position model. The record is from RNAcentral.
AAUAGAUACCCUGGUAGUCCACGCCGUAAACGAUGAGUGCUAAGUGUUGGAGGGUUUCCGCCCUUCAGUGCUGCAGCUAACGCAUUAAGCACUCCGCCUGGGGAGUACGGUCGCAAGACUGAAACUCAAAGGAAUUGACGGGGGCCCGCACAAGCGGUGGAGCAUGUGGUUUAAUUCGAAGCAACGCGAAGAACCUUACCAGGUCUUGACAUCUCCUGACCGCCCUGGAGACAGGGUCUUCCCUUCGGGGACAGGAUGACAGGUGGUGCAUGGUUGUCGUCAGCUCGUGUCGUGAGAUGUUGGGUUAAGUCCCGCAACGAGCGCAACCCUUGAUUCUAGUUGCCAGCAUUUAGUUGGGCACUCUAGAGUGACUGCCGGCGAUAAGUCGGAGGAAGGUGGGGAUGACGUCAAAUCAUCAUGCCCCUUAUGACCUGGGCUACACACGUGCUACAAUGGAUGGUACAAAGGGCUGCGAAACCGCGAGGUUGAGCUAAUCCCAAAAAACCAUUCUCAGUUCGGAUUGC